GCAAGACGGAAAGACCCCGUGAACCUUUACUAUAGCUUGACACUGAACACUGGUCCUUGAUGUGCAGGAUAGGUGGGAGGCUUUGAAGCGCGGACGCCAGUUCGUGUGGAGCCAUCCUUGAAAUACCACCCUUUAAUGGCUGGUGUUCUAACGUAGACCCGUGAUCCGGGUUGCGGACAGUGUCUGGUGGGUAGUUUGACUGGGGCGGUCUCCUCCUAAAGAGUAACGGAGGAGCACGAAGGUUAGCUAAUCCUGGUCGGACAUCAGGAGGUUAGUGCAAAGGCAUAAGCUAGCUUGACUGCGAGCGUGACGGCGCGAGCAGGUGCGAAAGCAGGUC
Molecule: ribosomal RNA, 337 nt
Filed under: Salmonella enterica subsp. enterica serovar Goldcoast
Lineage: Bacteria; Pseudomonadati; Pseudomonadota; Gammaproteobacteria; Enterobacterales; Enterobacteriaceae
Description: partial 23S ribosomal RNA
Rfam family: Bacterial large subunit ribosomal RNA
Source: RNAcentral